This 47-nucleotide transfer RNA is filed under the name Paratemnoides elongatus. Its description in RNAcentral is "tRNA-Ile". The record is from RNAcentral. Lineage: Eukaryota; Metazoa; Arthropoda; Arachnida; Pseudoscorpiones; Atemnidae.
GAUGGGAAGCCAGUAGGGGCUCAGUGAUAGAGAGUUUAAUCCCCCAU